Molecule: long non-coding RNA, 1843 nt
Organism: Epinephelus fuscoguttatus (brown-marbled grouper)
Lineage: Eukaryota; Metazoa; Chordata; Actinopteri; Perciformes; Serranidae
Exons: 2
Source: RefSeq, a predicted model, not a curated record
UCAAAAAGUCAUAGUAUAGUAUGUCAAACAAGUGUUCAAAUACUCAGUAAAAAAAAUGUAUGUCGAAAAAGUGUUAAAAAAGUAUAGUUUUGCGACAUAGUAUAGUAUGGCGCAAAACGUCAUAGUAUGUCAAAAAAGUGUUAAAAUAGAGUAUAGUAUGUCGAAAAUAAUUGUAAAAAACAUCAUAGUAUGGUGUGAUAAUAAGUCAUAGUAUAGCAUGUCGAAAAAGGUUUCAAAGUCACAGUAUGUCGAAAAAAGUUUUCAAAAAGUCAAAGUAUAGUAUGUCGAACAAGAUUGUAAAGAACAAUGAAAAAAGUCAUACUAUAGCGGGUCUAAAAAAAGUUUUCAAAAAGUCAUAGUGUAGUAUGUCGAAAAAAGUUAAAAACGUCAUUGUACAGUAUGUCGCAAAACAUCAUAGUAUAGUAUGUCCAAAAAAAGUGUUCAAAUACUCAUCGUAUAAUAUGUUGAAAAAAAGUGUAAAACAUCUUAGUCAUAGUCAUAGUGUAGCAUGUCGGAAAAAAUGUUAAAAAAAAGUCAUAGUAUAUUAUGUCGCAAAACGUUGUAGUAUAGUGUGUCAAAAAAGUGUUCAAAUACUCAUACAAUAGUAUGUUGAAAAAAUUGUAAAAAAACAUCAUAGUAUAGUAUGAUAACAAAAGUCAUAGUAUAGGAUGUCCAAAAAAGUUUUCAAGUAGUAUAGUAUGUUGAAAAAAAAGUCAUUGUAUAUCAUGUCACAAAACGUCAUACUAUAGUAUGUCAAAAAAGUGUUCAAAUACUCAAAGUGUAGUAUGUCGAAAUAAAGUGUAAAAAACAAAAUGGUAUAGUAUAAUGAACAAAGUCAUAGUAUAGCAUGUCGAAAAAGUUUUCAAAAAGUCAUAGUACAGUAAUCAUAGUAAAGUUUACAUCAUAGUAUAGUUUGAUGAAAAAAGUCAUAGUAUAGCACAUCGAAAAAAGUGUUAAACGUCAGUAUAGUAUGUCACCAAACGUCAAAAAAGUGUUCAAAUAUUCAUAGUGUUGUAUGUCAAAAAAAGUGUUAAAAAAAAUCAGGAUAGUAAGAUGAAAAAAGUCAUAGUACAGGAAGUUGAAAAAAAGUUUUCAAAUAGUAUAGUAUGUUGACAAAGUGUUAAAAAAAAGUCAUAGUAUAGUAUGUCGCAAAACUUCAUGGUAUAGAAUGUCAAAAAUGUGUUCAAAUACUCAUAGUAUAGUAUGUCGAAAAAGAUUGUAAAAAACAUCAUAGUAUAUUAUACAACAGUUAGUUCCGGCCCUGCAAUCUGAUUGGUCGAGAGACAGUAAAGCCGUGAUGAUAUUGGAGUGCAACAUCAUGGUUAUUUCACUGUGUAUGUAUCACUCCGCCUCACAGCUGACUGCAAUCAACAAUCAAAUCAAAACUGACGGUUAGUGUCAGUUAGGUCAGCAGUUGCGUUGUAGGCUAAUUAAUUCAUCCACUGUCAAACAGCCAAAAAUAUGGAUUUAUUUCCUAAAAUAAGUUUUGAAUUGAACUAUGAAUGGUCAUCAGAGGAAGAUGAGGGAGAGGAGAAGCUGAAUCCAUCUGAGCACACAUCCAGGUUUGUCAGUGUUUCAUCAGUGGAGCUCAAUGACUUGGAGAAAAGCAACAUACUGUCAGAUCAGAAGGCAGAGUCGGCUGUGCCUGUGAAGCGACAGUCCACCAUGCAGUCACCAGAGACUUAUUUCACCGGCUGCACAAUUAAUGGAAACGUGCAGAUAAAUGUGUAUAAAGAGUAAGUGCCUGGCGCACCAUGUUUGCGUUACAUAGCAACGGUGACAGCGGAGUCCUGAGGGAACUAUUUUUGUUGGCGGAAGACAAAUAAAAUGCUUAAAUUAUCAA